AUUGAACGCUGGCGGCAGGCCUAACACAUGCAAGUCGAACGGUAACAGGAAGAAGCUUGCUUCUUUGCUGACGAGUGGCGGACGGGUGAGUAAUGUCUGGGAAACUGCCUGAUGGAGAGGGAUAACUACUGAAAACGGUAGCUAAUACCGCAUAACGUCGCAAGACCAAAGAGGGGGACCUUCGGGCCUCUUGCCAUCGGAUGUGCCCAGAUGGGAUUAGCUAGUUGGUGGGGUAACGGCUCACCAAGGCGACGAUCCCUAGCUGGUCUGAGAGGAUGACCAGCCACACUGGAACUGAGACACGGUCCAGACUCCUACGGGAGGCAGCAGUGGGGAAUAUUGCACAAUGGGCGCAAGCCUGAUGCAGCCAUGCCGCGUGUAUGAAGAAGGCCUUCGGGUUGUAAAGUACUUUCAGCGGGGAGGAAGGGAGUAAAGUUAAUACCUUUGCUCAUUGACGUUACCCGCAGAAGAAGCACCGGCUAACUCCGUGCCAGCCGCCGCGGUAA
Molecule: ribosomal RNA, 506 nt
Filed under: uncultured bacterium
Lineage: Bacteria
Description: partial 16S ribosomal RNA
Rfam family: Bacterial small subunit ribosomal RNA
Source: RNAcentral